UCUUCUUAAAUAGUGUCUGACAUUUAUUGAAAGCAAGGAAAACAUUUUUGUACAGAUAGUGUAAACCGGAAAGAGUGCAAGGUUGUAAUGCAGUGUCGAACAAAAGGCACACACAUCAGACAGACAGCUGCAAAUUCAGAAGAAAACUGGAUUGUGGGGAAAAGUAAGUGGUCCACAGGAGAACAUGAGAGACUGGAUUUGGCUGCCAGGAACACGACAGGUGUCUGGGAGGGGAGAGGGCAUGGGUCCCGCUGAAGGUGGAAGGCCAGCUGCCUGAAUGCAUGUCCACGGGCAGACUGAUGCAGGCUGGUGGCAUGGCAGGGGCGGCUGACAGCGGCCGGCCGUGGGUGGUGUGUCCAGUGUGUAACGCGAGCCCAGCUUGCAGCUGGGGCCCAGGACAGCGUCCAAGUGUGCACGGGAGGGGCCGGGCUGGCAGCACAGGGCGGCGGCGACGCGCUCCAGAGCGAGGCCCGGCGGCCGCAGCAGCGGGAGCCUGGAGCGCUAUUCCUGGAACAAAGGCAAGCACUACGCGGGCGGGAGGGGACAGCAGCGCGCAGGGGACAUUGCAGCGGCCACGCGAAGGGGGAGGGGCGCGGCGGGAGGCCGCCUAUGGCCACCCUGGCGGUGGCGGUGGCGGUGGCGGCGACAGGCGCAGCCCACCCUCCCCGGAGCACCCGCCGCAGGCCAGGGGCUCUCGCGGCCUAGAAGUCCUCGUCCUCCUCCCAUCCAAAGACCCGCUUCAUCUCGGCCAGGAAGCCCCGGUAAUCACUGAGCAGGGGGCUGUCCUUCUCGAUGUAGGGGAUCACCCACUGCAGGGCCGGGCCCGUGAGGCGGGUGAUGAGGAACGUCACCUUCAGGGCGUCGGUGGAGAACGUCUUGUCGUCCACGAACAUGUAGGAGCCGGUCUGCACGAUGAACUCCGGGAGCCGGUCGGUGUCGCCGUCAAACGUCUCGGGAAAGGGAAUCGGGUUCCUCCAGCGACGCCCCAAGUGCCGGAUGGGCCAGGCCAUGAAGGCCUUCAUCAGCUGCACCCGGCCGUCCAUGGCGCUGUGCUUGGCCCGCUAGGCUUAGCUGGGUUUGUGGGCAGGGUGGAUGUCAGCACCAAGGCGUCGCCGGAAGUGCGUGGUUGUGGAGGCGGGUCCAGGUCCGGGUGUGUGUGUGGGGAGAGGGAGUGACGU
RNAcentral lists this long non-coding RNA (1178 nucleotides) under Castor canadensis (American beaver). RNAcentral describes it as "lncRNA (ENSCCNG00000030267.1)". Lineage: Eukaryota; Metazoa; Chordata; Mammalia; Rodentia; Castoridae. The record is from RNAcentral.